This 460-nucleotide ribosomal RNA is filed under the name uncultured bacterium. Its description in RNAcentral is "partial 16S ribosomal RNA". It matches the Rfam family "Bacterial small subunit ribosomal RNA", at positions 338 to 795 of the family's 1533-position model. The record is from RNAcentral.
CCUACGGGCGGCAGCAGUGGGGAAUAUUGGGCAAUGGGCGCGAGCCUGAACCAGCCAAGUAGCGUGAAGGAUGACUGCCCUACGGGUUGUAAACUUCUUUUAUAAAGGAAUAAAGUGAGGCACGUGUGCCUUUUUGUAUGUACUUUAUGAAUAAGGAUCGGCUAACUCUGUGCCAGCAGCCGCGGUAAUACGGAGGAUCCGAGCGUUAUCCUGAUUUAUUGGGUUUAAAGGGAGCGUAGAUGGGUUUGUAAGUCAGUUGUGAAAGUUUGCGGCUCAACCGCAAAAUUGCAAUUGAUACUGGCAGUCUUGAGUACAGUUGAGGUAGGCGGAAUUCGUGGUGUAGCGGUGAAAUGCGUAGAUAUCACGAAGAACUCCGAUGGCGAAGGCAGCUUACUAAACUGCCACUGACAUUGAUGCUCGAAAGUGUGGGGAGCAAACAGGAUUAGAUACCCUGGUAGUC